Molecule: ribosomal RNA, 821 nt
Filed under: uncultured bacterium
Lineage: Bacteria
Description: bacterial SSU rRNA
Rfam family: Bacterial small subunit ribosomal RNA
Source: RNAcentral
GGCUUAACACAUGCAAGUCGAGGGGGCAGCAUGUCCAACAAUUGGAUGAUGGCGACCGGCGGAAAGGGUGCGUAACGCGUGAGCAACAUGCCCUAUACAGGGAGAUACACCAGGGUAACUUGGUCUAAUAUCCCCUAGCAUUCAUUGAAGGCAUCUUUUAAUGAAUUAAAGCUUCGGUGGUAUAGGAUUGGCUCGCGUGACAUUAGCCAGAUGGUGAGGUAACGGCUCACCAUAGCAAUGAUGUCUAGGGGUUCUGAGAGGAAGGUCCCCCACACUGGAACUGAGACACGGUCCAGACUCCUACGGGAGGCAGCAGUGAGGAAUAUUGGUCAAUGGACGCAAGUCUGAACCAGCCAUGUCGCGUGCAGGAUGACUGCCCUAUGGGUUGUAAACUGCUUUUAUAUUGGAAGAAUUGCGCUUACGAGUUAAGCGUUUGACGGUACAUUAUGAAUAAGGAUCGGCUAACUCCGUGCCAGCAGCCGCGGUAAUACGGAGGAUCCGAGCGUUAUCCGGAUUUAUUGGGUUUAAAGGGUGCGUAGGCGGAAAUGUAAGUCAGUGGUGAAAUCCUGCAGCUUAACUGUAGAAUAGCCGUUGAAACUGUGUUUCUUGAGUACAUUUGAGGUAGGCGGAAUGUGGUGUGUAGCGGUGAAAUGCAUAGAUAUACCACAGAACACCGAUUGCGAAGGCAGCUUACUAAACUGUCACUGACGCUGAUGCACGAAAGCGUGGGUAUCAAACAGGAUUAGAUACCCUGGUAGUCCACGCUGUAAACGAUGAUUAAUGGUUGUUUGCGAUACACUGCAAGUGACUGAGCGAAAGCA